Molecule: non-coding RNA, 21 nt
Organism: Caenorhabditis elegans
Lineage: Eukaryota; Metazoa; Nematoda; Chromadorea; Rhabditida; Rhabditidae
Source: Ensembl
UUCUUUCCUGUCCUCUAGUCA